This 229-nucleotide unclassified non-coding RNA is filed under the name plant metagenome. RNAcentral describes it as "partial contains small subunit ribosomal RNA, internal transcribed spacer 1, and 5.8S ribosomal RNA". The record is from RNAcentral.
GCUCCGUAGGUGAACCUGCGGAGGGAUCAUUACAGAGUUCAUGCCCUAACGGGUAGAUCUCCCACCCUAUGUUAUCAUCACUUUGUUGCUUUGGCGGGCCGUCAGGCCUCGGCUUGGCUACCGGCUCUCGCUGGUAAGCGCCCGCCAGAGAACCCCAAACCCUGAAUAUCAGUGUCGUCUGAGUACUAUAUAAUAGUUAAAACUUUCAACAACGGAACUCUUGGUUCUG